This 490-nucleotide ribosomal RNA is filed under the name uncultured bacterium. Its description in RNAcentral is "partial 16S ribosomal RNA". It matches the Rfam family "Bacterial small subunit ribosomal RNA", at positions 30 to 507 of the family's 1533-position model. The record is from RNAcentral.
AUUGAACGCUGGCGGCAGGCCUAACACAUGCAAGUCGAACGGUAACAGGAAACAGCUUGCUGUUUCGCUGACGAGUGGCGGACGGGUGAGUAAUGUCUGGGAAACUUCCUGAUGGAGGGGGAUAACUACUGGAAACGGUAGCUAAUACCGCAUAACGUCGCAAGACCAAAGAGGGGGACCCUCGGGCCUCUUGCCAUCGGAUUUGCCCAGAUGGGAUUAGCUUGUUGGUGGGGUAACGGCUCACCAAGGCGACGAUCCCUAGCUGGUCUGAGAGGAUGACCAGCCACACUGGAACUGAGACACGGUCCAGACUCCUACGGGAGGCAGCAGUGGGGAAUAUUGCGCAAUGGGCGCAAGCCUGAUGGAGCCAUGCCGCGUGUAUGAAGAAGGCCUUCGGGUUGUAAAGUACUUUCAGCGGGGAGGAAGGGAGUAAAGUUAAUACCUUUGCGCAUUGACGGUACCCGCAGAAGAAGCACCGGCUAACUCCGUG